RNAcentral lists this ribosomal RNA (916 nucleotides) under uncultured bacterium. Its description in RNAcentral is "bacterial SSU rRNA". It matches the Rfam family "Bacterial small subunit ribosomal RNA", at positions 8 to 917 of the family's 1533-position model. The record is from RNAcentral.
GAGAGUUUGAUCCUGGCUCAGAUUGAACGCUGGCGGCAGGCCUAACACAUGCAAGUCGAGCGGAUGAAGGGAGCUUGCUCCUGGAUUCAGCGGCGGACGGGUGAGUAAUGCCUAGGAAUCUGCCUGGUAGUGGGGGAUAACGUCCGGAAACGGGCGCUAAUACCGCAUACGUCCUGAGGGAGAAAGUGGGGGAUCUUCGGACCUCACGCUAUCAGAUGAGCCUAGGUCGGAUUAGCUAGUUGGUGGGGUAAAGGCCUACCAAGGCGACGAUCCGUAACUGGUCUGAGAGGAUGAUCAGUCACACUGGAACUGAGACACGGUCCAGACUCCUACGGGAGGCAGCAGUGGGGAAUAUUGGACAAUGGGCGAAAGCCUGAUCCAGCCAUGCCGCGUGUGUGAAGAAGGUCUUCGGAUUGUAAAGCACUUUAAGUUGGGAGGAAGGGCAGUAAGUUAAUACCUUGCUGUUUUGACGUUACCAACAGAAUAAGCACCGGCUAACUUCGUGCCAGCAGCCGCGGUAAUACGAAGGGUGCAAGCGUUAAUCGGAAUUACUGGGCGUAAAGCGCGCGUAGGUGGUUCAGCAAGUUGGAUGUGAAAUCCCCGGGCUCAACCUGGGAACUGCAUCCAAAACUACUGAGCUAGAGUACGGUAGAGGGUGGUGGAAUUUCCUGUGUAGCGGUGAAAUGCGUAGAUAUAGGAAGGAACACCAGUGGCGAAGGCGACCACCUGGACUGAUACUGACACUGAGGUGCGAAAGCGUGGGGAGCAAACAGGAUUAGAUACCCUGGUAGUCCACGCCGUAAACGAUGUCGACUAGCCGUUGGGAUCCUUGAGAUCUUAGUGGCGCAGCUAACGCGAUAAGUCGACCGCCUGGGGGAGUACGGCCGCAAGGUUAAAACUCAAAGGAAUUGACGGC